CCUACGGGUGGCAGCAGUAGGGAAUCUUCCGCAAUGGGCGAAAGCCUGACGGAGCAACGCCGCGUGAGUGAAGCAGGAUUUCGGUUCGUAAAGCUCUGUUGUUAGGGAAGCAUGAUUGUGUAGUAACUAUACACAGUAGAGCCGGUACCUAACCAGAAAGCCACGGCUAACUACGUGCAAGCAGCCGCGGUAAUACGUAGGUGGCAAGCGUUGUCCGGAAUUAUUGGGCGUAAAGCGCGCGCAGGUGGUUUAAUAAGUCUGAUGUGAAAGCCCACGGCUCAACCGUGGAGGGUCAUUGGAAACUGUUAAACGUGAGUGCAGGAGAGAAGAGUGGAAUUCCUAGUGUAGCGGUGAAAUGCGUAGAGAUUAGGAGGAACACCAGUGGCGAAGGCGGCUUUUUGGCCUGUAACUGACACUGAGGCGCGAAAGCGUGGGGAGCAAACAGGAUUAGAUACCCUAGUAGUC
Molecule: ribosomal RNA, 465 nt
Filed under: uncultured Caryophanales bacterium
Lineage: Bacteria; Bacillati; Bacillota; Bacilli; Caryophanales
Description: bacterial SSU rRNA
Rfam family: Bacterial small subunit ribosomal RNA
Source: RNAcentral